UAUUUUAGUCAGUCUGUAGCCUCUGGAGUAUUUCUAGUGUACGGAGUUUGAACUGGACAUGUUUAACCCAGCACUGCCACAGUUAAAGUUCAGUUCAACUACUCACUGUUUAACUCUCUUUGCAGAAAUUAAAAUCGUCACAGUCAUGAAAUAACUGGAUGACAAAUCCAUGGCCCUUGGUGAUGCAACAAGACCUUACUCACUCUGAGUCUCUGACCCUUUCUUCUCUGAUCAGACAGAUCAUGC
Molecule: non-coding RNA, 246 nt
Organism: Pelobates cultripes (western spadefoot toad)
Lineage: Eukaryota; Metazoa; Chordata; Amphibia; Anura; Pelobatidae
Source: the annotation of a GenBank genome assembly